GACCUCAGAUCAGGCAAGGCUACCCGCUGUAUUUAAGCAUAUUAAUAAGCGGAGGAAAAGAAACUAAC
RNAcentral lists this ribosomal RNA (68 nucleotides) under Zoanthus sansibaricus. RNAcentral describes it as "partial 28S ribosomal RNA". It matches the Rfam family "Eukaryotic large subunit ribosomal RNA", at positions 1 to 69 of the family's 3401-position model. The record is from RNAcentral. Lineage: Eukaryota; Metazoa; Cnidaria; Anthozoa; Zoantharia; Zoanthidae.